Molecule: small nuclear RNA, 22 nt
Filed under: Arabidopsis thaliana (thale cress)
Lineage: Eukaryota; Viridiplantae; Streptophyta; Magnoliopsida; Brassicales; Brassicaceae
Description: snRNA_06478
Source: RNAcentral
UGGAGAUUGACAGUGAGUCUUC